AAGUCGUAACAAGGUUUCCGUAGGUGAACCUGCGGAAGGAUCAUUAUCGAUUUUUGAAACAAAACAUAAUAAUGAAAUAUCAUUAUUAUACUAUGCGCUGUAUAGUGCAUAUUGAACGCGUAUAGUUAUGCGCAAAAAUUUAUGUGGAACGCAUUAUUUUUUAUUGUUAAAUAAAAAAUGGAAGCACUUUGAUAAUAUAUAAAAAAUGGGUACUUAUUUUCAAAUAAGUUAAACGACCAAACCGUCGAGAUACAUUCGCCCAAAUUGUAUGAAAUCAUUGUGUUUAAAAAUACCCCUUUGUCGUAUGCAAAUGCGAUUUAUGUAUAUUUAAAUGAAAUUAUUAUUAACCCUAAGCGGGGGAUCACUUGGCUUGUGG
Molecule: unclassified non-coding RNA, 376 nt
Filed under: fungal sp.
Lineage: Eukaryota; Fungi
Description: partial internal transcribed spacer region
Rfam family: Eukaryotic small subunit ribosomal RNA (bases 1-46)
Source: RNAcentral